AAGACUUUAAGUUAUUCAAACUAUAUACCUUCAAAGUAUAAAAUAAUUCCAAAUUAAGUCUUA
RNAcentral lists this transfer RNA (63 nucleotides) under Nothoaspis amazoniensis. RNAcentral describes it as "tRNA-Trp". The record is from RNAcentral. Lineage: Eukaryota; Metazoa; Arthropoda; Arachnida; Ixodida; Argasidae.